This is a long non-coding RNA of Rattus norvegicus (Norway rat), 1272 nucleotides long. NCBI's taxonomy places the organism in Eukaryota, Metazoa, Chordata, Mammalia, Rodentia, Muridae. The record is from Ensembl.
CUCUAUGAAUCUUUACUUCCUAGAACUGCAAGGCUGGGUCUGCUGUAGGAGCCCACCAAGGAAGAACAGAAGGAAGACUUCAAAGCCUGCUUCCUGACCCCGGCCCACAGCCAGGCUCCAGCUGUUCCUGCUUUCUUCAGAAAUUCUUCCUGAAGACUGAACUGUCUAGCUUUUAGCUGGGUUGCUCAUUGGAGAAGGAAGAGUGCCUUCCAGAACCACCAGGGACACAGAGAGGAAGGUCCUUGGGCCUAAGGUUUCUGCCUUAGGCAGGAAACUUGCUUGCUGGAUUCCAGAACUUGAGCAGCUGCAGUUGGGGGACCUGUGUUUGUCUAAUCCUUCAAGGCUCCCCUCACCUGGUGGGCGACCAAAGGGAAUUUUCUUCUGCAGCUCUCUGUACUCUCUGAGUCUUGGCUUCUGAGCCUGGCAGCUCCAAACGUUCAGAUCUGCCACUUGAGAGACCUGUGACUCCAGCUUUGGAGACCCACUGCUCCAGAGACCGUCUGCUCCAGCCUGCUUCGAGACCUGCUGGAGACAGAGAAGACUUGCUGCUUCUGUUACUCCCACUGCUGAUCUGCAGGCUUGCUCUGCAAGGCUCUGCUCUUUAUUGGCAUCCGAAGGCCUCCAGCCUUUGAGGUGUACCAGUUCCCCAGAGUUCUAAUACUUCUCAGCGCUACCCCGGAUACCUGUUUCAACUUUUAUCCCAUUUAAAGGGAACUAACACUAAAGUGCCCCCAGUCUGUGCUCUUCCCUGUCUGCCUACUUCAUUCUUGGAGAAAGGUGGGACAAGAACCUGGUUGGAGACAGAUGGUAAACUCCUUCAGAAGGGCUGUUGUAAAGCCAUGGGAAAAGUCCUUGAGUUUGCACAUCAAGACUUCCACAGUUGGCCCAUACAUAUACAGCCACCCAAUUAGACAAGAUGGAUGAAGCAAAGAAGUGCAGGCCGACAGGAACAGGAUGUAGAUCUCUCCUGAGAGACACAACCAGAAUACAGCAAAUACAUAGGCGAAUGCCAGCAACAAACCACUGAACUGAGAACGGGACCCCCGUUGAAGGAAUCAGAGAAAGGACUGGAAGAGCUUGAAGGGGCUCGAGACCCCUUAUGAACAACAAUGCCAAGCAACCAGAGCUUCCAGGGACUAAGCCACUACCUAAAGACUAUACAUGGACUGACCCUGGACUCUGACCUCAUAGGUAGCAAUGAAUAUCCUAGUAAGAGCACCAGUGGAAGGGGAAGCCCUUGAUCCUGCCAAGGCUGGACCCCCAGCGAACGUG